Molecule: ribosomal RNA, 254 nt
Filed under: uncultured bacterium
Lineage: Bacteria
Description: partial 16S ribosomal RNA
Rfam family: Bacterial small subunit ribosomal RNA
Source: RNAcentral
UACGAAGGGGGCUAGCGUUGUCCGGAUUUAUUGGGCGUAAAGAGCUCGUAGGCGGUUGGGUAAGUCGGGGGGGAAAACUCCGGGCUCAACUCGGAGACGCCACCCGAUACUGCUCUGACUUGAGUCCGGUAGGGGAGUGGGGAAUUCCUGGUGUAGCGGUGAAAUGCGCAGAUAUCAGGAGGAACACCGGUGGCGAAGGCGCCACUCUGGGCCGGAACUGACGCUGAGGAGCGAAAGCGUGGGUAGCAAACAGG